RNAcentral lists this ribosomal RNA (643 nucleotides) under uncultured Alphaproteobacteria bacterium. RNAcentral's name for it is "bacterial SSU rRNA". It matches the Rfam family "Bacterial small subunit ribosomal RNA", at positions 8 to 697 of the family's 1533-position model. The record is from RNAcentral. Lineage: Bacteria; Pseudomonadati; Pseudomonadota; Alphaproteobacteria.
AGAGUUUGAUCCUGGCUCAGAACGAACGCUGGCGGCAUGCCUAACACAUGCAAGUCGAACGAAGUCUUCGGACUUAGUGGCGCACGGGUGAGUAACAUGUGGGAAUCUACCUAGAGGUUCGGAAUAACUGCGGGAAACUGUAGCUAAUACCGGAUGUGUCCGUAAGGAGAAAGAUUUAUCGCCUUUAGAUGAGCCCGCACUGGAUUAGUUUGUUGGUGAGGUAACUGCUCCCCAAGACUACGAUCUAUAGCUGAUUUGAGAGGAUGAUCAGCCACACUGGGACUGAGACACGGCCCAGACUCCUACGGGAGGCAGCAGUGGGGAAUAUUGGACAAUGGGGGAAACCCUGAUCCAGCAAUGCCGCGUGAGUGAAGAAGGCCUUCGGGUUGUAAAACUCUUUCAUCAAUGAAGAUAAUGACAUUAAUUGAAGAAGAAGCUCCGGCUAACUCCGUGCCAGCAGCCGCGGUAAUACGGAGGGGGCUAGCGUUGUUCGGAAUCACUGGGCGUAAAGCGUAUGUAGGCGGAUCAAAAAGUUAGAUGUGAAAUCCCUGGGCUCAACCUAGGAACUGCAUUUAAAACUAGUGAUCUAGAAUUUGGUAGAGGUCAGUAGAAUUUCCAGUGUAGAGGUGAAAUUCGUAGAUUU